CGCAGUAGGAUAGGCGAAGCGUGCGAUUGGAUUGCACGUCUAAGCAGUAAGGCUGAGUAUUAGGCAAAUCCGGUACUCAUUAAGGCUGAGCUGUGAUGGGGAGAAGACAUUGUGUCUUCGAGUCGUUGAUUUCACACUGCCGAGAAAAGCCUCUAGAUAGAAAAUAGGUGCCCGUACCGCAAACCGACACAGGUAGUCAAGAUGAGAAUUCUAAGGUGAGCGAGCGAACUCUCGUUAAGGAACUCGGCAAAAUGACCCCGUAACUUCGGGAGAAGGGGUGCUCUUUAGGGUUAACGCCCAGAAGAGCCGCAGUGAAUAGGCCCAAGCGACUGUUUAUCAAAAACACAGGUCUCUGCUAAACCGUAAGGUGAUGUAUAGGGGCUGACGCCUGCCCGGUGCUGGAAGGUUAAGAGGAGUGGUUAGCUUCUGCGAAGCUACGAAUCGAAGCCCCAGUAAACGGCGGCCGUAACUAUAACGGUCCUAAGGUAGCGAAAUUCCUUGUCGGGUAAGUUCCGACCCGCACGAAAGGCGUAACGAUUUGGGCACUGUCUCAACGAGAGACUCGGUGAAAUCAUAGUACCUGUGAAGAUGCAGGUUACCCGCGACAGGACGGAAAGACCCCGUGGAGCUUUACUGUAGCCUGAUAUUGAAAUUCGGCACAGCUUGUACAGGAUAGGUAGGAGCCUUUGAAACGUGAGCGCUAGCUUACGUGGAGGCGCUGGUGGGAUACUACCCUAGCUGUGUUGGCUUUCUAACCCGCACCACUUAUCGUGGUGGGAGACAGUGUCAGGCGGGCAGUUUGACUGGGGCGGUCGCCUCCUAAAAGGUAACGGAGGCGCUCAAAGGUUCCCUCAGAAUGGUUGGAAAUCAUUCAUAGAGUGUAAAGGCAUAAGGGAGCUUGACUGCGAGACCUACAAGUCGAGCAGGGUCGAAAGACGGACUUAGUGAUCCGGUGGUUCCGCAUGGAAGGGCCAUCGCUCAACGGAUAAAAGCUACCCCGGGGAUAACAGGCUUAUCUCCCCCAAGAGUUCACAUCGACGGGGAGGUUUGGCACCUCGAUGUCGGCUCAUCGCAUCCUGGGGCUGUAGUCGGUCCCAAGGGUUGGGCUGUUCGCCCAUUAAAGCGGUACGCGAGCUGGGUUCAGAACGUCGUGAGACAGUUCGGUCCCUAUCCGUCGUGGGCGUAGGAAAUUUGAGAGGAGCUGUCCUUAGUACGAGAGGACCGGGAUGGACAUACCUCUGGUGUACCAGUUGUCGUGCCAACGGCAUAGCUGGGUAGCUAUGUGUGGACGGGAUAAGUGCUGAAAGCAUCUAAGCAUGAAGCCCCCCUCAAGAUGAGAUUUCCCAACUUCGGUUAUAAGAUCCCUCAAAGAUGAUGAGGUUAAUAGGUUCGAGGUGGAAGCAUGGUGACAUGUGGAGCUGACGAAUACUAAUCGAUCGAAGACUUAAUCAAA
This 1453-nucleotide ribosomal RNA is filed under the name Staphylococcus aureus. RNAcentral describes it as "partial 23S ribosomal RNA". It matches the Rfam family "Bacterial large subunit ribosomal RNA", at positions 1473 to 2925 of the family's 2925-position model. The record is from RNAcentral. Lineage: Bacteria; Bacillati; Bacillota; Bacilli; Caryophanales; Staphylococcaceae.